CCUACGGGGGGCAGCAGUGAGGAAUAUUGCACAAUGGAGGAAACUCUGAAGCAGCGACGCCGCGUGCGGGAAGAAGUAUUUAGGUAUGUAAAGCUCUAUCAGCAGGGGAGAAAAUGCCGGUACGUGAAUAAGCAGCCCCGGCUAACUACGUGCCAGUAGCCGCGGUAAUACGUAGGGGGCAAGCGUUAUCCGGAUUUACUGGGGGUAAAGGGGGCGUAGACGGCAGCGCAAGUCUGAAGUGAAAUGCCGGGGCUUAACCCCGGAACUGCUUUGGAAACUGUGCAGCUAGAGAGCAGGAGCGGUAAGUGGAAUUACUAGUGUAGCGGUGAAAUGCGUAGAGAUUAGGAGGAACACCAGUGGCGAAGGCGGCUUACUGGACUGUAACUGACGUUGAGGCUCGAAAGCGUGGGGAGCAAACAGGAUUAGAUACCCUGGUAGUC
This 440-nucleotide ribosomal RNA is filed under the name uncultured bacterium. RNAcentral's name for it is "partial 16S ribosomal RNA". It matches the Rfam family "Bacterial small subunit ribosomal RNA", at positions 338 to 795 of the family's 1533-position model. The record is from RNAcentral.